This is a long non-coding RNA of Clupea harengus (Atlantic herring), 400 nucleotides long. NCBI's taxonomy places the organism in Eukaryota, Metazoa, Chordata, Actinopteri, Clupeiformes, Clupeidae. The record is from Ensembl.
UGGAAGAAGGAAAGAAGAAAGGAAAGGAGAGUGGAAGAAGGAAAGAAGAAGAGUGGAAAAAGGAAAGAAUAAUAUUCCUAGUUAUACAGUUGAAUGGAGAGGGACAGAGAGAAGAGGAGCCUUGGAACCUUGGCGCAGGUGUCAGUGAAGCACAGGGCAACAGAGUGAUAUCAAGGACUCCAUCGCCAUGGCGAUGUGUUAAGGAGGAUGGUGUCUCCUGGGUUAUAUGCUUUUGGAUAUACUGCUAAGUGAGGUAAGUGUGCGUGUUUGUGCAUAGCUCCUUUUUCUUGUGUAAAUUACUUUGUGUGUCUCAGCAUGUUUGGCUGAGACAGUAGGAGCUAUGCUUUUUUUUUGGUUUAUAUAUAACUUCAGAAGACCAUUCAAGCUGUAUGUGUUGUUU